This 1030-nucleotide ribosomal RNA is filed under the name human gut metagenome. Its description in RNAcentral is "bacterial LSU rRNA". It matches the Rfam family "Bacterial large subunit ribosomal RNA", at positions 1900 to 2925 of the family's 2925-position model. The record is from RNAcentral.
GCAAGCUCCUGAUCGAAGUCCCAGUAAACGGCGGCCGUAACUAUAACGGUCCUAAGGUAGCGAAAUUCCUUGUCGGGCAAGUUCCGACCUGCACGAAUGGCAUAACGAUGGCCACACUGUCUCCUCCUGAGACUCAGUGAAGUUGAAGUGUUUGUGAUGAUGCAAUCUCCCCGCGGCUAGACGGAAAGACCCCAUGAACCUUUACUGUAGCUUUGCAUUGGACUUUGAACCGAUCUGUGUAGGAUAGGCGGGAGCCUGUGAAACCACAACGCCAGUUGUGGCGGAGGCGUCCUUGAAAUACCGCCCUGAUUUGUUUGAGGUUCUAACCUGGGACAGUCAUCCUGUCCGGGGACCGUGCAUGGUAGGCAGUUUGACUGGGGCGGUCUCCUCCUAAAGGGUAACGGAGGAGUGCGAAGGUACGCUAGGUACGGUCGGAAAUCGUGCUGAUAGUGCAAUGGCAAAAGCGUGCUUGACUGCGAGACCCACAAGUCGAGCAGAUACGAAAGUAGGUCAUAGUGAUCCGGUGGCUCUGUAUGGAAGGGCCAUCGCUCAACGGAUAAAAGGUACUCUGGGGAUAACAGGCUGAUACCGCCCAAGAGUUCAUAUCGACGGCGGUGUUUGGCACCUCGAUGUCGGCUCAUCUCAUCCUGGGGCUGUAGCCGGUCCCAAGGGUAUGGCUGUUCGCCAUUUAAAGAGGUACGUGAGCUGGGUUUAAAACGUCGUGAGACAGUUUUGUCCCUAUCUGCCGUGGGCGCUGGAAGAUUGACGGGGGCUGCUCCUAGUACGAGAGGACCGGAGUGGACUCACCUCUGGUGUACCGGUUGUCACGCCAGUGGCAUCGCCGGGUAGCUAUGUGGGGAAGAGAUAACCGCUGAAAGCAUCUAAGCGGGAAACUUGCCUGAAGAUAAGUCUUCCUGGAGGCUAGACCUCCCUAAAGAGUCGUUCGAGACCAGGACGUUGAUAGGAUGGGUGUGUAAGUGCUGUGAGGCACUCAGCUAACCAUUACUAAUUGCUCGUGAAGCUUGAUCCU